Molecule: long non-coding RNA, 327 nt
Organism: Zingiber officinale
Lineage: Eukaryota; Viridiplantae; Streptophyta; Magnoliopsida; Zingiberales; Zingiberaceae
Exons: 3
Source: RefSeq, a predicted model, not a curated record
UGUUGUUCAGCAGUGAUUUUCUCAAUGCCAGGUGCAAAAGAGGCAGAUUUAUGGCAUCACUAAUAUGCUUGAAGGGAUAGGAUUUAUGCCAAUGCUGCAGAAGUUGAAAACCUAGUCUCGCAAGAAUGCCAAUUGGAUGAGUGCAUCAGGUUUGGUUCCAAUACUAAAUGUAGCUUCUAUCUACUGAUGCCUAACAUGCUUUAAUAUGCAUAGUGUGCAAAAAUGUUCUAGUUUUAAAGCAGAAUGCAAGAAAGUAUGAGUGUGUUCACUGAAGAAGAAAGUAAUCAAAAGUAUGUUAUUUUUUUCUUGCAUUUGCCCACAUAUGUU